Callithrix jacchus (white-tufted-ear marmoset) is the source of this 3978-nucleotide long non-coding RNA. RefSeq lists it as uncharacterized. Lineage: Eukaryota; Metazoa; Chordata; Mammalia; Primates; Cebidae. The record is from RefSeq and is a predicted model, not a curated record.
GCAGCCUACCUGAUGUGAAGACAAUGAAGAUAAAGACCUUUGUGAUGAUUCUCUUCCACUUAAUGGACAGCCCAGCAGAACUUGGGGAAGAUGGCAUACUACCUUUCAGUGGUGGACAGAACAUAAUUCUUCAUCUCCUAUUUUGCUUCUCUCCCUUCUCUUUGGACUGACAAGAGUCCCACACCAUUUAGGAGCUCAGUAGGGGAAAAAACUACACUGGGCAUUUCAGAAGAGGUAACAACUCCAGAAUCCAUCACCAUCUCUACGAAUGAGGGGCAAAGGGAAGAAGUGGGAAGACAGAAUCUAGAACUGCGUAGCUGGGUCUGACAUCCCAGGGGACACCACUCAGCAGUUGCUGGGUCCCCUGAAGUGUCAUGAUGAAGGCUUAAUGCUGGAGCAAUGACAACAGAAUCUAGUAAGCCAGUGGGAAGUAGCAAGUCUCUUCUCCUGCCUUCCCGUCUCUCCUCAGUGUUCUUACUGGCAGAACCAAACAUGGAAUCAGUCAGCAAAAGAUAAAGGUGUUUUGCAGUGUGCUGGGCCCAGCAUCUCAAAGCAAGGCAUAGAAAGGGCAAGGAGAGAAGGGGGCUUGGAGCUGAGAGACAGUCGCCAAAUAACUGGCAUCCCUCUUCAUAGGUAGUGUUCCCUAUUCCCUUGGGGUACAUGAUGCUUGGAUGAUUCUCUUUUUAUGUAUUGUUAUCAGCCACUGAUGAUGAUUACCUUAAUCCAUUAAUUCACAUGGGACUACAAAAUCAGCAAAGUGAUUGAUAAGAUAUGUCAUGAUAUCCAUGUGGAUAAGAUAGAGAGACGUGGAAUGAUGGAAAAAUAUCUGGGUGGGGCAGUAGUUAGAUAAACACACCCAGUAUUGAUGAAUGGCUCUUGUCCCUCCAGAGGGAGGUUUCUGGUGGUUGGGUUUUUGUUCUUGACCCUAUACUGUUUUGUGUUUUUAUCAUUUUGACUUGGAUGAAGGUAAAGAGUAGGGAGGAAUUUUUUAAAUAUAUUUGCUGAGUUCAGUAUUGUUCACUAUUCUUUUUUUUCACACCUUGGCACUGAUGGAAAUUGUUAACAUCUGUACAGUCAACUGAAGAAAUUCCAUGAGAUUACCCACAGCCUAAGGUGAUUGGCUUAACGUCUGACUGUUCCAGGCCUCACCCAGUGGUUCCAAAAGCUGAGGGGAUCAAUGCUUCAAAGCUGGAGGGAGUUACACUUGGUGCACAUCCAAAACCUAUUCAUAGAUCACUAGCUGGAAAGCUUCAUUCUAAAGAUGUGGUUAAGGCUGGAAUUCUGUCUCAUAGCACAGCUACAUCUCCCCAUGAGGUUCCCAAGGAGAAGAACAAGUGGAAAGUCAAGCCACUGCUUUAUUAUUUGCUAUGCUGGUGUCUGAUCUCUUAGUGAAGGGCUCUCUGAUAAUCUGGGCUGGGCCAUAUGGAUUUAGCUUGAGAUUUAAGGGAUUCCUUUUCCCUUGGGCAGAUUCAAGAAGGGAGCCCAGACAGCAAUCUCAGCCAGCAAAAGCAGUUUCCUGAAACCAUAGACAAAAUGUGUCCAAGCUCCAAGAUGUAGCUAGAGACUAAUCUCUUCCAUGCAGCUUGCAGCCUCAUUUCUGCAGCACAGAUACCAUGAGAGGAGACCCCUAAAAUCUCUUGUCUGAAUGGGAUUAGGGUGGGGCAGGCAGGAAGAGAAGACCCCAGGCUGACUAACAGAUCAAUGACAGGCAUAGAAAAAGAAGAGAUAAGAGCGAGUCUCAUGUGAGGACCAUUUAAAAAUGCAUGGUGACUGUCCACAGAACAUGCUGCCCACUGUCCUCUUGGGACCCGCAAACCGGUUAUCAGCUCCUCUUCUCUGAAUGCGUGUGAAGGGGUUAGGGUCAGGGUUAGUUAUUCAUUGUAUUACAUCUUACCCCAAACUUAGUGGCUUAAAACAACAACCAUUUUUUUUUUCUGUUUGUUUCUGAGGGUGUCUGUGGGUUGGGAAGCUGGGAAUGUCUUGGCUGGGUAGUUCUGGCUCAGGGUCCCUCAUGAGGCCAAUGCGAUCAAGAUGUUGGCCAGGGCUGCAGUCAUCCAAGACUUGAUGGGGCUGGAGGAACCACUUCUGAGGUCACUCAGGACUGUUGGUAAAAGCCUUUGGUUCUUUGCUACAUGGGGAUCCUGUUGGGGCUGCCUGUGACAUGCCUGCCCCGCCCUCCACAGUGAUGGGGGAACGGGAGGCUUGUUGUGGGAUGAGGCUGGGAAGUUGUGCAGAGGCUUCAUACCACAUUUAGGCAGUUAGGUAAGAUAACGUCUCUGUUUCCCCUCCGACUCUCAUCUUCCCCCAUCUCAAAGCUCCUCCUGAGGUCAGAGAAAUUGAGAGAAGACCCAGCCUCACAACCUUGCCAGAGGGGAGCCCUGGCUUUGGAAGGGCAUUCUGGUUAGGGAGUGGAUGGGGAGUGAAGCUUAAGCUUAGAAAAGCAUGGGACAGGGAGAGAGGAAAGGACAGUCAUCGUUAGGCUCCCCGUCCCCAGACUUGGCCUCAUCUCCAGUCCAAAUUAUCCUGUGGGCUCUGUCUCACCAUGAGAUGCUCUGCAAGACAUGGAGCAUCAAGCUACCUCGGUCAAUGUUUUGUCAUCAGCCCUUGAUAUGCGCCCCUGGUCUUUGUGGCCCCUGAAAGCUGUUCUAAACCUGAGAUUAACCUGAGAUGUCCCCCAAUGGCUGAGUCACAAGAAGUGGGCAGCUGGCUGGGGUUUAGUGUGUGAAAGCCACAGCAUAAAGAGGGGCUUUGUGCUGCCACUGGCAGGGGUCAGUCCACAGAGUGGCUGGUAUUGAGGGUACUUGUGCUUGGCCUUCAGUGGAAGGGGAAGACUCUCCCCAAACCCCAGAGGCACUGAAACUUGCCCUUCCUCUUGGCAGUGCAAAGACACUUGCCAUUAGGAGGAGCUCCCCUGGUGUCCAUGCUGCUGCUGACUGCUCACUCACUGCCUCUCAUCACCCUCAUGCUUGUCAUGGCCCUGUGGUCAUGUCUGUCUUAAUAUGGUAUAGCCUUUGCUAUAGAUCCAGGUAAUAGACCCCAGACCCCUUUCUGACUCGGUUUUGUGCUGAUGCUGAAGAGUUCUGCCAUCAUGCUCUGGAUGAUUUUGCUUGCUAAGAUUGUUGUCUGGGCUCCCUUCUUGAAUCUGCCCAAGGGAAAAGUAAGAAGAAGGUGAGUAACUGGGAGGACUCAGCUACUCAAAUGACAUGAAAUGUUGGGAAAGCAUUACCUAUUCAUGCAUCCAUACAUCUGUUGUCAGUCAUCCACCCAACCAUUCAUCAUCCAUGAAUUCAUGUAUCUAUGAAUCCAUUAAUUCAUCCAUCAUCCAUGCAUCUGUGCAUCCGCCCAUCCAUUUAUUCAUCCAUUCAUCCAUCCAUCAUCCAAGUAUCCAUUUAUCUAAUCACCAUUCACAUCUAUGUGUCCCUCCUUUCCCCAUCCAUCCAUCCUUUCCCCAUCCAUCCAUCCAUCCAUCCAUCCAUCUGGCCAACCAUGCAUUUACCCAUCAUCUGUCAUCUAUCAUCUCUAGCUGUGGUGGACACUGUGAUGUGCUGUUCAGACCCCCUUGUGAUGGAGGACUUGUAGCUCCAACUGCUAGGAGUGCUGGUGUCAAGGAGCUUUUAGUGGUCAGUUUCUUCAGGGAUUGUCUUAGUUGAAGAGAGCUGCCUUGCCCAAGAUUAAGCCCUUUCCCAAGGAAGCCUACAUUCAAUGUUGUCGUUGUGAGAGUAUAAGGGCCUGAUCAUCUUGGUGCAUCAGGACAACUCUGCAGGGCUGUUCUUGCUCCAGAGCUCUCAUGGUAUGGGGCCUGCAUUGCAGCUUGAAUUUCCCUCUGCCUGCUCCUGCUUCCUUCAUUUUCCUUGUACAGGUGAUCCCCAGCACGCUCCUUAUUAAACAUCCUGCACUCUAACUAUGGCUUAGGAUGUCCUUCCUGGGGAAUUCAACAUGUGACUCUGACAUCAUCCUUUCAUCAAUAAAUGCAUUUCU